This 253-nucleotide ribosomal RNA is filed under the name uncultured bacterium. Its description in RNAcentral is "partial 16S ribosomal RNA". It matches the Rfam family "Bacterial small subunit ribosomal RNA", at positions 524 to 776 of the family's 1533-position model. The record is from RNAcentral.
GACGUAGGGUCCAAGCGUUGUCCGGAUUUACUGGGCGUAAAGAGCGCGUAGGCGGUCCGUUAAGUGUAGAGUGAAAGCUCCGGGCUCAACUCGGAAAUUGCUCUGCAUACUGGCGGACUCGAGGACGGAAGAGGUUUGUGGAAUUCCUGGUGUAGCGGUGAAAUGCGUAGAUAUCAGGAGGAACACCGGUGGCGAAGGCGGGUCUCUGGGCAGUAACUGACGCUGAGGAGCGAAAGCGUGGGGAGCGAACAGG